AGCUUCCUCCUGCAAUCUUUAUUCCUCGACCACCUCGACUGGCCAACGAUUACACUUUGGAAGAGCGUCUUCAUCGCCUUCAUCAUCGCCCAUACUUUACCACUCGUGCAGAACAGCGAGCUAAUCUCGCGGAGAUUGAUUAAGGUCUUCUCUUUUUGCAUGAUGCCAAAGGGGGAGAAUUUCUAAGAAUUUCAUGUUCUGUUUUUAGUUUGUUUUAAGACUAUGGUUUUUG
RNAcentral lists this long non-coding RNA (232 nucleotides) under Panax ginseng (ginseng). RNAcentral describes it as "long non-coding RNA (PGIN_LNC004074)". The record is from RNAcentral. Lineage: Eukaryota; Viridiplantae; Streptophyta; Magnoliopsida; Apiales; Araliaceae.